GCACUGGUUUAGCUCAGUGGUUACUUCGAACAAAUUCUAUCCUGUAUAGAUACUGCUCCCCAUCCCUCCCCGGGAUCGAACCACGGGCGCUGUCCAGUGCUUUU
This is a vault RNA of Larimichthys crocea (large yellow croaker), 104 nucleotides long. Its record names the gene Vault. It matches the Rfam family "Vault RNA". Rfam says of the family: This family of RNAs are found as part of the enigmatic vault ribonucleoprotein complex. The complex consists of a major vault protein (MVP), two minor vault proteins (VPARP and TEP1), and several small untranslated RNA molecules. It has been suggested that the vault complex is involved in drug resistance. The record is from Ensembl. NCBI's taxonomy places the organism in Eukaryota, Metazoa, Chordata, Actinopteri, Sciaenidae.